UCCCUACGGGGGGCAGCAGUGAGGAAUAUUGGUCAAUGGGCUUACGCCUGAACCAGCCAAGUCGCGUGAGGGAAGACUGCCCUAUGGGUUGUAAACCUCUUUUGUCGGGGAGCAAAAGACGCCACGCGUGGCGUUCCGAGAGUACCCGAAGAAAAAGCAUCGGCUAACUCCGUGCCAGCAGCCGCGGUAAUACGGAGGAUGCGAGCGUUAUCCGGAUUUAUUGGGUUUAAAGGGAGCGUAGGUGGAUUGUUAAGUCAGUUGUGAAAGUUUGCGGCUCAACCGUAAAAUUGCAGUUGAGACUGGCA
RNAcentral lists this ribosomal RNA (305 nucleotides) under uncultured bacterium. RNAcentral describes it as "bacterial SSU rRNA". It matches the Rfam family "Bacterial small subunit ribosomal RNA", at positions 335 to 638 of the family's 1533-position model. The record is from RNAcentral.